CCUACGGGAGGCAGCAGUGAGGAAUAUUGGUCAAUGGACGAGAGUCUGAACCAGCCAAGUAGCGUGAAGGAUGAUUGCCCUAUGGGUUGUAAACUUCUUUUAUAUGGGAAUAAAAUGUUCCACGUGUGGGAUUUUGUAUGUACCAUAUGAAUAAGGAUCGGCUAACUCCGUGCCAGCAGCCGCGGUAAUACGGAGGAGCCGAGCGUUAUCCGGAUUUAUUGGGUUUAAGGGGAGCGUAGGUGGAUUGUUAAGUCAGUUGUGAAAGUUUGCGGCUCAACCGUAAAAUUGCAGUUGAAACUGGCAGUCUUGAGUACAGUAGAGGUGGGCGGAAUGCGUGGUGUAGCGGUGAAAUGCUUAGAUAUCACGAAGAACUCCGAUUGCGAAGGCAGUUCACUGGACUGCAACUGACACUGAGGCUCGAAAGUGUGGGUAUCAAACAGGAUUAGAUACCCGAGUAGUC
Molecule: ribosomal RNA, 460 nt
Filed under: uncultured bacterium
Lineage: Bacteria
Description: partial 16S ribosomal RNA
Rfam family: Bacterial small subunit ribosomal RNA
Source: RNAcentral